GACGAACGCUGGCGGCGUGCUUAACACAUGCAAGUCGAGCGGUAAGGCCCUUUCGGGGGUACACGAGCGGCGAACGGGUGAGUAACACGUGGGUGACCUGCCCUCAGCUCUGGGAUAAGCCUGGGAAACCGGGUCUAAUACUGGAUAUGACUCCAUGACGCAUGUUGUGGGGUGGAAAGCCUUGUGCGGCUGAGGAUGGGCCCGCGGCCUAUCAGCUUGUUGGUGGGGUGANGGCCUACCAAGGCGACGACGGGUAGCCGGCCUGAGAGGCGACCGGCCACACUGGGACUGAGACACGGCCCAGACUCCUACGGGAGGCAGCAGU
RNAcentral lists this ribosomal RNA (325 nucleotides) under uncultured bacterium. RNAcentral describes it as "bacterial SSU rRNA". It matches the Rfam family "Bacterial small subunit ribosomal RNA", at positions 28 to 355 of the family's 1533-position model. The record is from RNAcentral.